This 578-nucleotide ribosomal RNA is filed under the name Rhodotorula mucilaginosa. RNAcentral's name for it is "eukaryotic LSU rRNA". It matches the Rfam family "Eukaryotic large subunit ribosomal RNA", at positions 58 to 652 of the family's 3401-position model. Lineage: Eukaryota; Fungi; Basidiomycota; Microbotryomycetes; Sporidiobolales; Sporidiobolaceae. The record is from RNAcentral.
AAAGAAACUAACAAGGAUUCCCCUAGUAGCGGCGAGCGAAGCGGGAAGAGCUCAAAUUUAUAAUCUGGCACCUUCGGUGUCCGAGUUGUAAUCUCUAGAAAUGUUUUCCGCGUUGGACCGCACACAAGUCUGUUGGAAUACAGCGGCAUAGUGGUGAGACCCCCGUAUAUGGUGCGGACGCCCAGCGCUUUGUGAUACAUUUUCGAAGAGUCGAGUUGUUUGGGAAUGCAGCUCAAAUUGGGUGGUAAAUUCCAUCUAAAGCUAAAUAUUGGCGAGAGACCGAUAGCGAACAAGUACCGUGAGGGAAAGAUGAAAAGCACUUUGGAAAGAGAGUUAACAGUACGUGAAAUUGUUGGAAGGGAAACGCUUGAAGUCAGACUUGCUUGCCGAGCAAUCGGUUUGCAGGCCAGCAUCAGUUUUCCGGGAUGGAUAAUGGUAGAGAGAAGGUAGCAGUUUCGGCUGUGUUAUAGCUCUCUGCUGGAUACAUCUUGGGGGACUGAGGAACGCAGUGUGCCUUUGGCGGGGGUUUCGACCUCUUCACACUUAGGAUGCUGGUGGAAUGGCUUUAAACGACCCGU